GUAGGUGAACCUGCGGAAGGAUCAUUAGAGAGCAAGCCGGCCGGCAGUCAUGCCAGGCCGGCAGACCCUCCAACCAAUGCAAACCGGGAGAGUGGCUGCAUCCUCCAGCAGAGCGCGGGCAUGUGGCCGCCUCGUCUCCCGCACUACCGUGCGGGAUCCGAGAGCCUCCGCUGGAGGGCCCCCGCAAAAUCCUAUCUGGUACGUCCGGGAAUCACAGAGACAUAAAGCAAGCAAAACUUUCAACAACGGAUCUCUUGGCUACC
This 263-nucleotide unclassified non-coding RNA is filed under the name rhizosphere metagenome. RNAcentral describes it as "partial ribosomal RNA internal transcribed spacer region". The record is from RNAcentral.